Solanum verrucosum is the source of this 705-nucleotide long non-coding RNA. RefSeq lists it as uncharacterized. NCBI's taxonomy places the organism in Eukaryota, Viridiplantae, Streptophyta, Magnoliopsida, Solanales, Solanaceae. The record is from RefSeq and is a predicted model, not a curated record. The transcript is spliced from 2 exons.
UCUUCAAACAAGUUAAGUUGUAAAAGCAGCUUUUCAAUUGUCACUAUUUAGGAUCACUUGGCAGGCAAUUAGGGUUAUAGGUUCACAUGGGACCAAAAUGAAAUCAAACAAGAAUUUAUUGCAGAUUUAAGUAAUGAUAAGAGUUUACUCUAUUCCUUUAAGCAUUUAGGAUAAAAUGGGAAACCAAGCGAGAACAUACAUGGAAAGAAGCAGGAAAUUAACCCACAACCUUUAUGACUUGGAUCUUGCCAAAUGUUCGGUCAGGUGAAUUUCUUUACUUCUGCAUAUUUGGUUCAGAAGAGCCAUACAUUCAGUAGAUUCAUGCUACGUUGUUUAGUUAAAUACUGCAGGUGGAAUUUAUAUGUUCUUUAAGGUUUCUUAUUUAUUUCUUGUUGUACUUCCUAUUGAUUUUUCACAUCAACAGAAAAAGUAAAUAUUGCGUGCAUGUUUAGCUGUAGUUCGUUUCUGCUGUCAUUAAUUGUCAAUUUUUUUAACCAUAACUUAGUACUUCCAAGUAAAAAAACAACUGUCGAAAACUGAAUCCUGUUCUCACAGGAAAACUCACAUCAAGUGGCAGAUUGGAUAAGCUAAUAUUUUCUGUCUAUCCAAGUUUGGUGAUUUUAACAAGGGAAAGGGGGAAAAUAUACUUCUCAACUUGUGAUUUAGAGCGGAUAUACCACUUGUUUAAAAAGUGGUGGUAUUUAG